GUAAACGCUGGCGGCGUGCCUAAAACAUGCAAGUCGAACGCAUGACUUUUUGGAGUGUGAGUGGCAGACGGCUGAGUAACGCGUGGGUGACCUGUCCUCGAGUGGGGAAUAACUGCCCGAAAGGGUGGCUAAGACCGCAUGAGCUUCAUCUGUCGGAAGGUGGAGGAAAACCUCGUGAGGGGUGCUGGAGGAGGGGCCCGCGUCCGAUUAGCUGGUUGGUGAGGUAACGGCUCACCAAGGCGACGAUCGGUAGCUGGUCUCAGAGGAUGAUCAGCCAGACUGGGACUGAGAGACGGCCCAGACUCCUACGGGAGGCAGCAGUUAGGAAUUUUGGGCAAUGGGCGCAAGCCUGACCCAGCAACGCCGCGUGGGUGACGAAGGCCUGG
RNAcentral lists this ribosomal RNA (386 nucleotides) under uncultured bacterium. RNAcentral's name for it is "bacterial SSU rRNA". It matches the Rfam family "Bacterial small subunit ribosomal RNA", at positions 30 to 419 of the family's 1533-position model. The record is from RNAcentral.